RNAcentral lists this ribosomal RNA (451 nucleotides) under uncultured bacterium. Its description in RNAcentral is "bacterial SSU rRNA". It matches the Rfam family "Bacterial small subunit ribosomal RNA", at positions 32 to 507 of the family's 1533-position model. The record is from RNAcentral.
AACGCUGGCGGCGUGCCUAACACAUGCAAGUCGAACGAAGCAUAGCAAUAUGCUUAGUGGCGGACGGGUGAGUAACGCGUGAACAAUCUGCCCUGUACAAAGGAAUAGCCUCGGGAAACCGGGAUUAAAACCGUAUGACACUUUAGUAUCGCAUGAUAAGAAAGUCAAAUCGAUUAGAGGUAUGGGAUGAGUUCGCGUCUGAUUAGCUGGUUGGCGGGGUAACGGCCCACCAAGGCGACGAUCAGUAGCCGGCCUGAGAGGGUGAACGGCCACACUGGAACUGAGACACGGUCCAGACUCCUACGGGAGGCAGCAGUGGGGAAUAUUGCACAAUGGAGGGAACUCUGAUGCAGCGACGCCGCGUGAGUGAAGAAGGUCUUCGGAUCGUAAAACUCUGUCCUUGGUGAAGAAAAGGACGGUAGCCAAGGAGGAAGCCCCGGCUAACUACGUG